CCUACGGGUGGCAGCAGUAGGGAAUAUUGCUCAAUGGGGGAAACCCUGAAGCAGCAACGCCGCGUGGAGGAUGAAGGUUUUCGGAUUGUAAACUCCUUUUGUUAGAGAAGAUAAUGACGGUAUCUAACGAAUAAGCACCGGCUAACUCCGUGCCAGCAGCCGCGGUAAUACGGAGGGUGCAAGCGUAACUCGGAAUCACUGGGCGUAAAGCGCGAGUAGGCGGGAUAGCAAGUCAGAUGUUAAAUACUAUGGCUUAACCAUAGAACUGCAGUUGAAACUGUUAUUCUAGAGUAUGGGAGAGGUAGGUGGAAUUCUUGGGGUAGAGGUAAAAUGCGUAGAGAUCAAGAGGAAUACUCAUUGCGAAGGCGAAUGGCUAGAACAUAACGGACGCUGAUGCGCGAAAGCGUGGGGAGCAAACAGGAUUAGAUACACCAGUAGUC
Molecule: ribosomal RNA, 440 nt
Filed under: uncultured bacterium
Lineage: Bacteria
Description: partial 16S ribosomal RNA
Rfam family: Bacterial small subunit ribosomal RNA
Source: RNAcentral